Non-coding RNA from Theobroma umbraticum, 1356 nucleotides. NCBI's taxonomy places the organism in Eukaryota, Viridiplantae, Streptophyta, Magnoliopsida, Malvales, Malvaceae. The record is from RefSeq and is a predicted model, not a curated record.
UUAAUUAUCUGUAAUUAAUCCUUUUUAUGUCCUUGUUUCGUUUUUUUAUUUUUUACUAUGCUUUUUCUUUCUUGCUAUGGGAAACUGUUGGAAUUCUCCAUUGUUUUUCCAACUACCAUUUAUUAAUCUUUAAUCUUUUGCUUUUUAUUUUCUUGUUUAAGUAAACAGUCUCUUUAUUUUCAAUCUUUUCUUUACUCCAAAAGUUUGUUUUGACUCUGCAGCAGUGCAAGUGGGUGCUUCCUGCUUCAUUUUUGCAGUUUCUUUGUACUUUAAUAUGAAUAUAUAUAUAUUUUUUAUGUUUUUACUGGUUGAAUUGGGUUUAGAUCUGGGACUUCAGUUUCAAGGUUGUUCUUCAUAAAAGUUUUUCAACUUAGUUUCGUGCUCUUUUCGGUUUUGACUUUUUCAGUGAAUUUUAAGGCUAGGGUUGGUUAUGCUUGUAAAAUUUAGAAUAUUUAAGUCCUUUUACUUUUAAUUCUUCUACUAACACUUUUUUUCCCUUUGGCUUUCAGUGAGGAAACUGAGUUUUGUUUCUCUAGAAAUUUUGGUACUGUUUAAUUUUGGACUUUGUCUUUGGUCUUAUUGCUGAGAAAUAUGGAGAAAACAAAGACUAGAAAAUUUUGGUUUAUUUUUUAUGCUGUCUAGUUGAGACAACCUCAGUUCCUUUACCUUUCAUUUCUCUUCUGUUUAAGCUUUUUGCAACUGCAGCUGUUUAUUAUGGUUUCCAAAUCCAAUAAAUUUUUCUUAGUGGCUUUUGAUUUUAUUUUUUUCAUAUAAAAAAUUUGCAAAGCUUAAGGUGUUUGAUAAGUUCUUAAAACCUUAUAAAUUCUUUUAGCUUAAGCCUUUAUAAUAUGCAUGAUUGCAUAUAGAAGUUCCUCCAUUUCCAGCUUGUCCAGCUAGAGAGAGUCCAGAAUCACUGGAUUGUUAGAAUCAUGAGUUUUGGAUGCAAUUCUACUGCUUUAGGGUCAAUGGAAACUGAAUUUAUGAAGUUCAAUGACAUUUAUAUUAUUUUGAGAUUCAAAACAGCUUGGUACUUUCUCAAUUAUUUUACUCUGAGAUUUGACACAUUAUCAAUUGACAACGAGAGAGAGCACGCUUGUUGGCAUUCUUGGAAGGACACGGAUGUGUACAAGCGUGCUCUCUAUCGUUGUCAUAUGAUAUCAAAGCUGUCUUUUCUCAGUUUCUUAGUCUGUUGCUGCAAUAGCUAGCAGGUGAUUCUGUUCAUCCGGAAUUUCAAUUUUGCUGCAAAAUUUUUUAAUGAAAUAUAUAUAGAUAAUAAGAUGGUUGUUAUUAUCAUGUUAUACAGUUGGCAGGAAUUUCAAUUUUGCUGCAAUUUUUUAAUGAGACAUAAAUAAUAAG